AUUACAAAAAUAUAAGCUGUAUGUGUCAGGACAACUUCAGAUGGUGAAACCUCAGGUUCUGGUCCAUACUGUAGCCAUUAACUUCAAUGUCAUCUAAAGGUGUUGGACCAGUGAUGGUGUAGUAGAAUUAUGUGAGUUUUGAUCACAAAAACGUUAAGGCCUACUGUUCUUGGUAUAUUACAAAGACACAAUUCUCACAUUAUUUCUGGUAUAUUUUUGUUAGAUCAAUCGGAGGAGAGAUCAUUAUCAGGAAAGAUGUCUGAAUUAGAUUAAAAGCAACAACUGAGAUUCCAUGUUUGCAAAGAGAGGCUGUAUGGAGUUGAGCGGUCCACAGAUCCCAGAGCAGCAUUUAACUCAACAAAAGCUCAAACACUCAAAGGCUUCAGAGAGUGCGUUGGACAACCAAGAAUAGUAGGACCAGCUGGGAUCAAGUUGGAGGACUUAUAACUGAUAAAAUAUGGACUGACAAUGGCAACAUUUCAGCAGGGGCGGACCGGCUAUAUGUCUGUUCUGGAAGAGCACAGAACAGGUGGGGGGGGCCAUCUCGCCCAGCCCUGCAGUUGCACAGCGGAGAAACAGAAAGAAGUAGAGAAACUGCAAGCUCGUUGUGUGACUACUCUGCAGUCAUCUGAUGACCUAAUAGAGACUUGGGAAGAGUGUACGAAGCAGGCAGUCAGAGGUGUAAAAACACUGUUUACUAGUGGCAGCAGGGCGCCACUGACACCAAAACUACAGCACAAGAAAAGAAGAUGCAGCUGUUGAUCCAGGGCACAUUAGCAUAUCAGACACUGCACAGGGACAGUCAGAAGAACAUGUGGAAGUUCUACCUCAGAUGAUCUCUAUGUAGAGAGCAAACGGUGAGCAACGAUGUAAGCCACACACACAGCAGGGCUUGAUUAAAAUAAAUUGAAGGGAGUUGUUAGCUAUAAGAUUUCCAAACACAACAUACUUAAAACCAGGUCAUUAUACCAUCUGGUUUUGCAGUAUGGCAUGUUUCCAUGUAGCCAUUUGAUUUGUGUAAAACAUUGUGUCUGAGAGGAUAUGAAGGUGCAAUUAGUUUGAAACUAUUUAAAAACAUAAUUUUGGUAUUUUAUUUAUUUAACAGCUCUGUUGUUGUUAAUUAGUGACACACCAAUUGCGGAAUGAAGAUUUUCAUAAAUUGAUGUUCAAAAUGCCUUAAUGAAAGCUCACAAUUAUGCUAAUUUGGGCCUGGCUACUCAUAGUUUCACACUUUAUUAUUUAUUUUAAUAUUUGAACAGAAAUAUACGUAUCAUGCAGUUUUUUGAAGAUACAUGUUGCUAUUACUGACUAUGGACCAGCAUAUUCGCUGCUCACAAAAUGUGUCCUUUGGAGUAUUUGAAUGGAGUUUAAUGGGAUUUAGCAGCUGCAGAUUAGUGUCAGUGUCUGCACACCUCAGACAAUUUUCUAUUUUGAAAGAUUUUAGUCAUAAGGUUCAGAUUUUUGUAUAUUGUACGUUGUGUUCUGCUUUUUUUGGUAGUAUUUGUUUUGUAAAUGUAGAAAUGUCUGUGAAGACACAAUUCCAU
This 1544-nucleotide long non-coding RNA is filed under the name Neogobius melanostomus (round goby). RNAcentral's name for it is "lncRNA (ENSNMLG00000024887.1)". The record is from RNAcentral. Lineage: Eukaryota; Metazoa; Chordata; Actinopteri; Gobiiformes; Gobiidae.